UGCAAAUGUCUUAGGAGGGAUUCGAAAAAUAAGAUUGACUGUGGAGUCUAUCUUAUGCGGCACAUGGAAUCGUAUAAAGGCCAAGGGGUUUC
Molecule: long non-coding RNA, 92 nt
Organism: Ipomoea nil (Japanese morning glory)
Lineage: Eukaryota; Viridiplantae; Streptophyta; Magnoliopsida; Solanales; Convolvulaceae
Exons: 3
Source: RefSeq, a predicted model, not a curated record